RNAcentral lists this transfer RNA (73 nucleotides) under Canis lupus familiaris (dog). It matches the Rfam family "tRNA". From Rfam's summary of the family: Transfer RNA (tRNA) molecules are approximately 80 nucleotides in length. RNAcentral also lists the same sequence under 1 other name. Lineage: Eukaryota; Metazoa; Chordata; Mammalia; Carnivora; Canidae. The record is from Rfam by way of RNAcentral.
GCCUGACUAGCUCAGUUCAUAGAGCAUGAGACUCUUAAUCUUAGGGUUGUGAGUUCAAGCCCUACAUUGGGCU